GGCACGAGUCGCUCGGUGGCCAGGAGUCAGUUAGGCCCGGCGUUUGAACUGCUGCAGACGCUCAGAUUUUUUUUUUUUUCCUCUCCCUAAUCUUGACUUUUUCUUACUGUUAAUCUACUAGUAGAUACUCGUCCUUUUACAGACACACUUGGGCGUCCAACACAAACAUGCCAAAGAACAGCUCUUUGUUCGCUCGCCUUCAGGAAUCCAGCUCCGGGAGGCCCUGGUGUGUGCUGCCUUUGAUCUGAGCCUGAGAUAGCCCUGCAUUAGUACAGAGUGGGAUGGAUCACCAUUCAAAUUGCAUGGAUUAACUAUGGAAGGGUCGCCCGUGUCAUCACGGCUGGAGGAGGCAGUGAGAGACAGAUGCCAUUCUCAUCUGUUGCUGGUCUCCCCCACUUCCGACCUUCUUCCCCUCCUGGGGGUUGGCCUGCUGACUUCCAGCCCAUUGCACGCACGGGCGCCUCAUGAUGGUGGCGGGGCUCCCAUGGUGGUGGAAGGGCUAGCCCUGUAAUAAAGCCCGUAUUCCACACCAGUCAAGGUGGUCUGCUGCUCCGGUUGCCCUCGGGCUGAAACACAUGUUAGAUCCCUGUUUCUGAGAAGAGAAGGACUUGGAGGAAGAAGGCGGCCGCUCUCCUCCAUCCCAAAGAUGACUGAAGGGGAGUGUCGCUCCGGACACCGUAAAGUAAUGACGUUAAACCUCGGUUGCAGUCCCCGGGAGACUUUGGGGGCGUCUGCUUUGGACACCUUUGGAACUAGGCGGGCUCGGCUCUUUCUGCAAGUGUGGCAUUGCUGGAAGGCAGAAGAAUGAAAGCUUCCCAGCGGCUCCUGAGAGGAGAUAGCUGUGGUCGAAGAGCGGGGACCAACGGGGCAGAAGCCCCAGUUCCAGCCCCAGCCCCAUCUACCACUGCGGGUGGUUUGAUCUCUGGCAGCUUGUUUAAUCUCUCUACCAACCAGGGAGGGAUCAAAAUAUUGGGGAAAUGGCAAUUCCGAUGUUGUUGGCUGUUUGAAUGAUUAAGCAACCCAAUUUUUUGUUUAAACGCCCUGCCUUCCACAGUGUUACGCAAGUGUUAUUUUUAUCAGUGUGUCCAUUAAAAUAGUAAAUUGGA
Molecule: long non-coding RNA, 1106 nt
Organism: Leptonychotes weddellii (Weddell seal)
Lineage: Eukaryota; Metazoa; Chordata; Mammalia; Carnivora; Phocidae
Source: RefSeq, a predicted model, not a curated record